AGGGCAGUGCUUAUGCAGACUGGAUAUCAGCCACAGAAAAGAACUGACUUGAUGUGUCAUGAGUUGGCCCUGGUGAGAACUGACAAAUCAGUCUGAUGUUCAAACUCAAGUGCUGGACACCAUGUGUCAUCUAUUUUCCCCCUGUUCAGCUGUAUAGAAGUCACUGCGUUCUUGUCUCAUUUAAAGGAAGAGAGAUGAUAAAAAUCCAGUCAAUUCAGUACUAAGAAGGAUGAACUGAAUAAGGGGAGGAAGACAUUUAUACAACUGGCCUCAGAAGAAGUGAAUGAUCUAUGCUGAUAAAACUUAGGUUCAUAAUUUUUUAUUUCCCUCAAAUCACCCUUGGUAGAACUCUAUGCUAUAAAUCGUUCCAUUGCUAGCAAUUAUUGAGUGGAAUGGUAGAGUUAAAGAUCCAGAUUCCCACAUCACUACGUCCACAGAUCAAGAAUAAAUUUUGAAUUGCAAGAAUUUUUUUUCUUAUUUCUGUCUGUAAAACCUAGUAAUAGAAUUACUACCCCUUGUAAUAGUUGCUGAAAAGCGUGUUUAAAAAUGAAGUGUCACUUCA
Non-coding RNA from Coturnix japonica (Japanese quail), 562 nucleotides. The record is from RefSeq and is a predicted model, not a curated record. NCBI's taxonomy places the organism in Eukaryota, Metazoa, Chordata, Aves, Galliformes, Phasianidae.